Molecule: ribosomal RNA, 292 nt
Filed under: uncultured bacterium
Lineage: Bacteria
Description: partial 16S ribosomal RNA
Rfam family: Bacterial small subunit ribosomal RNA
Source: RNAcentral
GUGCCAGCAGCCGCGGUAAGACGAAGGGGGCUAGCGUUGUUCGGAAUUACUGGGCGUAAAGGGCGCGUAGGCGGUCUUGUCAGUCAGGCGUGAAAGCCCUGGGCUCAACCUGGGAGGUGCGCUUGAUACUGCAAGGCUUGAGUGCAGGAGAGGAUGGUGGAAUUCCCAGUGUAGAGGUGAAAUUCGUAGAUAUUGGGAAGAACACCGGUGGCGAAGGCGGCCAUCUGGACUGCAACUGACGCUGAGGCGCGAAAGCGUGGGGAGCAAACAGGAUUAGAUACCCUGGUAGUCC